Molecule: ribosomal RNA, 459 nt
Filed under: Triticum aestivum (bread wheat)
Lineage: Eukaryota; Viridiplantae; Streptophyta; Magnoliopsida; Poales; Poaceae
Description: partial small subunit ribosomal RNA
Source: RNAcentral
GAUGAGGACAUCCCAGGUUCACCUCGUUUAUCAUCUUCUCCUGAUGAUAAAUCGCAGCCAUCAAGUGAAGCUUCUACAAAGAAGAUCUAUUUGGGUCCCAUGACAAGGAGCCGUGCCAAACAAAUAGCACAAGAGGUGAACGCGCUCCUAGCUUAUCAUAAUUCAAAUGACCAUGAGAGCUUUAUACUGCCUAAAUCUCGUGUGCUGAUUUUACUUAGGUACAAUGUUAAGGACAACCAACAACAUUCAGCACAUAAAUUGUUGCAUGUGCAGUUCCAGAAUUCGUCCCAGAACUUGCUGAAUCAUGCAACGCAAAUAUAUGAGCAUCCAGCAUGUGUGGGAGUACAAAAUGGAGAGCAUAUGAAGUCUACUUUCAGGAAAAUCAAACGGUGCAUCAUUUGGAGUCCUAAGUCAAAGAAUAUGAGAGUUCCAGUGCAAGCUGUCCAGGGCAUUAAUUGA